This 182-nucleotide long non-coding RNA is filed under the name Sus scrofa (pig). RNAcentral's name for it is "lncRNA (ENSSSCG00030033304.1)". Lineage: Eukaryota; Metazoa; Chordata; Mammalia; Artiodactyla; Suidae. The record is from RNAcentral.
GACGUGGGACCGCGGUCGCAGGGGUCUGCUCCGAUUAUUUAUAUCACCCUUUCCAAAUUUGCCUGUAGAUAAGUCACAAGAAGUCGGCCUGAACUAUACACAGAACACACAGAUGGAAGAUUUGAAUCAGCUGUGAAAAAGAUGAUCAGUCCUAAUCAGAAAGUAAAAAGUGAGUGCUUAGA